RNAcentral lists this ribosomal RNA (342 nucleotides) under Triticum aestivum (bread wheat). RNAcentral describes it as "partial small subunit ribosomal RNA". The record is from RNAcentral. Lineage: Eukaryota; Viridiplantae; Streptophyta; Magnoliopsida; Poales; Poaceae.
AUGCGACAUUUUUCGAUUGUGGUGAUGAAUGAUGUUUGUUUCGCAUCUUUUGGCUUCAUUGAUGAGUGUUUGAUUCUCAUCUUCGAGCAGAGUUUGGUCCGAGCCAAGUUUACCUAUACUUGGUCAGCUCGGGCGGCUUCGCUAGCCCAGCCGCUAUUGUUUUUGCCCAUUUGUGUUGUUGCUUUAGUAGCAUCCUCUGCUUUCUUUUACGUAGCAACAGAGCACCACUCUUACCCUGCACUUCUCUCCAGAUUAUGCUACAAUUACAAAUUUACAAUGCAUUCAUGCAUGAGCAGUGCAUGUGUUGGCGUCCAUGAGAUCAGGAAUAGUUUGAACAAAUGA